UACGUAGGGUCCGAGCGUUGUCCGGAAUUAUUGGGCGUAAAGGGCUCGUAGGCGGUCUGUUGCGUCGGGAGUGAAAACUUACAGCUUAACUGUGAGCGUGCUUUCGAUACGGGCAGACUUGAGGCAUUCAGGGGAGAACGGAAUUCCUGGUGUAGCGGUGAAAUGCGCAGAUAUCAGGAGGAACACCGGUGGCGAAGGCGGCAUCCUGGACCAACACUGACACUGAGGAGCGAAAGCCAGGGGAGCAAACGGG
This 253-nucleotide ribosomal RNA is filed under the name uncultured bacterium. RNAcentral's name for it is "partial 16S ribosomal RNA". It matches the Rfam family "Bacterial small subunit ribosomal RNA", at positions 524 to 776 of the family's 1533-position model. The record is from RNAcentral.